AGAGGGCUGGAGAGAUGGCUCAGAGGUUAA
RNAcentral lists this non-coding RNA (30 nucleotides) under Cricetulus griseus (Chinese hamster). The record is from RNAcentral. Lineage: Eukaryota; Metazoa; Chordata; Mammalia; Rodentia; Cricetidae.